RNAcentral lists this ribosomal RNA (264 nucleotides) under uncultured bacterium. Its description in RNAcentral is "partial 16S ribosomal RNA". It matches the Rfam family "Bacterial small subunit ribosomal RNA", at positions 793 to 1055 of the family's 1533-position model. The record is from RNAcentral.
GUCCCGGCGGUAAACGAUGGGCACUAGGUGUCGGAGGUAUCGACCCCUCCGGUGCCGCAGUUAACACAUUAAGUGCCCCGCCUGGGGAGUACGGCCGCAAGGUUGAAACUCAAAGGAAUUGACGGGGCCCGCACAAGCGGUGGAGUAUGUGGUUUAAUUCGACGCAACGCGAAGAACCUUACCUGGGCUUGACAUACGGCGGACAAGGUUGGAGACAACCUCUCUCCUUCGGGAGCCGCCGCACAGGUGCUGCAUGGCUGUCGU